RNAcentral lists this ribosomal RNA (928 nucleotides) under Psilocybe weraroa. Its description in RNAcentral is "LSU rRNA". It matches the Rfam family "Eukaryotic large subunit ribosomal RNA", at positions 45 to 958 of the family's 3401-position model. The record is from RNAcentral. Lineage: Eukaryota; Fungi; Basidiomycota; Agaricomycetes; Agaricales; Agrocybaceae.
AAUAAGCGGAGGAAAAGAAACUAACAAGGAUUCCCCUAGUAACUGCGAGUGAAGCGGGAAAAGCUCAAAUUUAAAAUCUGGCGGUCUUUGGCUGUCCGAGUUGUAAUCUAGAGAAGUGUUAUCCGCGCUGGACCGUGUACAAGUCUCCUGGAAUGGAGCGUCAUAGAGGGUGAGAAUCCCGUCUUUGACACGGACUGCCAGGGCUUUGUGAUGCGCUCUCAAAGAGUCGAGUUGUUUGGGAAUGCAGCUCAAAAUGGGUGGUAAAUUCCAUCUAAAGCUAAAUAUUGGCGAGAGACCGAUAGCGAACAAGUACCGUGAGGGAAAGAUGAAAAGAACUUUGGAAAGAGAGUUAAACAGUACGUGAAAUUGCUGAAAGGGAAACGCUUGAAGUCAGUCGCGUUGGCCGGGGAUCAACCUUGCUUUUGCUGGGCGUACUUUCCGGUCGACGGGUCAGCAUCAAUUUUGACCGUUGGAUAAAGGCUGAGGGAAUGUGGCUCCUUCGGGAGUGUUAUAACCCUUGGUCGCAUACAACGAUUGGGAUUGAGGAACUCAGCACGCCGCAAGGCCGGGUACUUGUACCACGUUCGUGCUUAGGAUGCUGGCAUAAUGGCUUUAAUCGACCCGUCUUGAAACACGGACCAAGGAGUCUAACAUGCCUGCGAGUGUUUGGGUGGAAAACCCGAGCGCGUAAUGAAAGUGAAAGUUGAGAUCCCUGUCGCGGGGAGCAUCGACGCCCGGACCAGACCUUUUGUGACGGAUCCGCGGUAGAGCAUGUAUGUUGGGACCCGAAAGAUGGUGAACUAUGCCUGAAUAGGGUGAAGCCAGAGGAAACUCUGGUGGAGGCUCGUAGCGAUUCUGACGUGCAAAUCGAUCGUCAAAUUUGGGUAUAGGGGCGAAAGACUAAUCGAACCAUCUAGUAGCUGGUUCC